GAGGUUGUGGCUCAGUGGUAGAGUGCUCGCCUCACAGUGUGGGGCCCUGAGUUCAAUCCUCAGGACCACA
This 70-nucleotide transfer RNA is filed under the name Marmota monax (woodchuck). RNAcentral describes it as "tRNA.Undet". Lineage: Eukaryota; Metazoa; Chordata; Mammalia; Rodentia; Sciuridae. The record is from RNAcentral.